This 373-nucleotide long non-coding RNA is filed under the name Homo sapiens (human). Its description in RNAcentral is "LincRNA-BC5". The record is from RNAcentral. Lineage: Eukaryota; Metazoa; Chordata; Mammalia; Primates; Hominidae.
UCAUGCCUGCCUCACCCAGCUUCUCCCUCUCCCCUCCCAGAAACUCAGACCCAAGGGGCAGCUCCUCACCAGGGAUGUGGAAGUACUCUACAUCAUCCCGCAGGGCUUCACCACUCUCACAUCCAUCAUCAACAGAAUUCCACAGCUUUACGUUUCCAUUUCCUAACCAAGCAGGACAGUCACUCAUGUCAUUGUGUUCUCCCGUGUCCUCCUCUGGAGAUUCUUCACAGUCACCUCAUUCAUCAAUAAUAUACCAUAUGUUCUUACUGCCAUCAUCCAGCAGCUCACCCCCAGCCACCCAUGACUCUCCUGUCUGUCCCAGCUACUCUCCAACCACGCCCACAUUUCAGCGGGAGUCUGUACCCCACACCCC